AUUACCACUUUUACUACUUCUUUCCCAACAGCUGUCAGAGAAGAAGAAAGGACAAGAGGCAGCUGAGAGAGACUGGCUUCAAAAUUAAGGGCCAUGGUAUGCUGAAGGCUGGGGAUGGGAAAAGCUCCUGCAUUUUUGCUGCAGUUUCUAAUAGUUUCCGGGAUACCAGGAAGAUUCUAGUAUUUCCUAACAUCACUAAUUUAUGUCCAGAGAUACUCUGCGUAUUGCAGCUAUUGGUAUCUUAUAAUAAAUAAUGCAAAGAUUACUGAGAAAAUCGGAAUAAGCAUGAAGAUGCAGGGGAGGAGGCAACAAAUGCAAUGAGCCCCCAGAUCUCUGAAGUUCUUUUUCUUCAGAAAAGACUCCUCUCCUUGAAGAUCUGCACCACGCACGGCAACGGGGGCUCCUCUUUCCUCGGCACAGCAGCAACGCUGGUCAGGCUCCCAGCCUUGGGAUGUAGAGACAUCUACACAGGCCGGCGCUAUCACAGGGAGAGGUUGGUGACUUCCUUAUACAACUAUGCUUAUGAGUGAUCUCUAUACUAAAAGCUCCAGAGAUCGGCAAUGCCCGUAAUGAGCGAUGGAAAAGCAAGGCAUGUGAUGCUGUCCAGGAGGCAGGUGUCCAGUGCGGUUGUGGUUCCUCCCUUGGACUGCUGGAAGGUAGGAGAGACGCCCGGAGCCUUCCCUGCCCUCACCUGCGCUGAGCCCUCGGGCGCACCUGGGCUCUGCCCCCAAGGGAACAUCAGCUCUGCGCUGCCGGCAUCCAAUAGGUUCCACCCAACUCACAGCAACAAGAGGAAUCGCAGCCUACGGCGCGGGAAGCCGUCACAAAACCCAGCACAAGCCAGAGGGCCAGUGCCGGGCUGGCACUGCGUGAGUCCCAGCGGGGACAGCCCCACUGGCUUGAAAAGAUCUGCACGACGCUGACCAUUUUUUCAAUUUCAAUUCAGCAAACCUGUCUGGGUUUUGGUUUUCUGUAUGCGCUUCUAAUUUCA
Molecule: long non-coding RNA, 991 nt
Organism: Nothoprocta perdicaria
Lineage: Eukaryota; Metazoa; Chordata; Aves; Tinamiformes; Tinamidae
Exons: 4
Source: RefSeq, a predicted model, not a curated record